GACGAGUGGCGAACGGGUGAGUAAUGCAUCGGAACGUACCUUCAGUGGGGGAGUAACGUAGCGAAAGUUACGCUAAUACCGCAUAUUCUGUGAGCAGGAAAGCAGGGGAUCGCAAGACCUUGCGCUGAUUGAGCGGCCGAUGUCAGAUUAGCUAGUUGGUGAGGUAAAGGCUCACCAAGGCGACGAUCUGUAGCGGGGUCUGAGAGGAUGAUCCGCCACACUGGAACUGAGACACGGUCCAGACUCCUACGGGAGGCAGCAGUGGGGAAUUUUGGACAAUGGGGGCAACCCUGAUCCAGCCAUGCCGCGUGAGUGAAGAAGGCCUUCGGGUUGUAAAGCUCUUUCGGCCGGGAAGAAAUCGCAUGGGUUAAUACCCUGUGCGGAUGACGGUACCGGCAUAAGAAGCACCGGCUAACUACGUG
This 422-nucleotide ribosomal RNA is filed under the name uncultured bacterium. RNAcentral describes it as "bacterial SSU rRNA". It matches the Rfam family "Bacterial small subunit ribosomal RNA", at positions 90 to 507 of the family's 1533-position model. The record is from RNAcentral.